Molecule: ribosomal RNA, 491 nt
Filed under: uncultured bacterium
Lineage: Bacteria
Description: partial 16S ribosomal RNA
Rfam family: Bacterial small subunit ribosomal RNA
Source: RNAcentral
AGUGAACGCUGGCGGUAGGCCUAACACAUGCAAGUCGAACGGCAGCACAGUAAGAGCUUGCUCUUACGGGUUGCGAGUGGCGGACGUGUGAGGAAUACAUCGUAAUCUACUUUUUCGGGUGGGAUAACGUAGGGAAACUUACUCUAAUACCGCAUACGACCUACGGUUGAAAGCAGGGGAUCUUCUGACCUUGCGCGAUUGAAUUAGCCGAUUUCGGAUUAGCUAGUUGGCGGGGUAAAGGCCCACCAAGUCGACGAUCCGUAGCUAGUCUGAGAGGAUGGUGAGCGACAGAGGAAGUGAGAGACGACACAGGCUCUUACGGGCGGCCGCAGUGGGGAAUAUUGGAAAAUGGGCGCAAGCCUGAACAAGGAUACCGAGUGGGUGAAGGCGGCGUUCGGGUUGUAAAGCCCUUUUGUUGGGAAAGAACAGCAGCAGGUUAAUACGAAGCUGUUCUGACGGUACCGAAAGAAUAAGCACCGGCUAACCUCGUG